This 424-nucleotide ribosomal RNA is filed under the name uncultured bacterium. RNAcentral's name for it is "bacterial SSU rRNA". It matches the Rfam family "Bacterial small subunit ribosomal RNA", at positions 357 to 772 of the family's 1533-position model. The record is from RNAcentral.
GGGAAUUUUUGUCAAUGGGGGAAACCCUGAACAAGCAACGCCGCGUGGAGGACGAAGGCCUUCGGGUUGUAAACUCCUGUCGGAGGGGACGAAGGCGAUCGAGAUCAAUACCCUCGGUCGUUGACGGUACCCUACGAGGAAGCCCCGGCUAACUCCGUGCCAGCAGCCGCGGUAAUACAUAGGCUCCAAGCGUUGUUCGGAAUUACUGGGCGUAAAGCGAGUGUAGGCUGUCCGCCAAGUCGAUUGUGAAAUCUCCCGGCUUAACUGGGAGGGUGCGGUCGAAACUGGCGGACUAGAGUUCGGGAGAGGAGAGUGGAAUUCCUGGUGUAGCGGUGAAAUGCGUAGAUAUCAGGAGGAACACCGGCGGUGAAGACGGCUCUCUGGACCGAUACUGACGCUGAGACUCGAAAGCGUGGGGAGCAAA